This 450-nucleotide ribosomal RNA is filed under the name uncultured bacterium. RNAcentral's name for it is "bacterial SSU rRNA". It matches the Rfam family "Bacterial small subunit ribosomal RNA", at positions 354 to 796 of the family's 1533-position model. The record is from RNAcentral.
GUGGGGAAUAUUGGACAAUGGGCGAAAGCCUGAUCCAGCCAUGCCGCGUGUGUGAAGAAGGUCUUCGGAUUGUAAAGCACUUUAAGUUGGGAGGAAGGGCAGUAAGUUAAUACCUUGCUGUUUUGACGUUACCGACAGAAUAAGCACCGGCUAACUUCGUGCCAGCAGCCGCGGUAAUACGAAGGGUGCAAGCGUUAAUCGGAAUUACUGGGCGUAAAGCGCGCGUAGGUGGUUUUGUAAGUUGGAGGUGAAAUCCCCGGGCUCAACCUGGGAACUGACUCCAAAACUGCAUGACUAGAGUACGGUAGAGGGUAGUGGAAUUUCCUGUGUAGCGGUGAAAUGCGUAGAUAUAGGAAGGAACACCAGUGGCGAAGGCGACUACCUGGACUGAUACUGACACUGAGGUGCGAAAGCGUGGGGAGCAAACAGGAUUAGAAACCCCUGUAGUCC